RNAcentral lists this ribosomal RNA (465 nucleotides) under uncultured bacterium. RNAcentral's name for it is "partial 16S ribosomal RNA". It matches the Rfam family "Bacterial small subunit ribosomal RNA", at positions 28 to 507 of the family's 1533-position model. The record is from RNAcentral.
GACGAACGCUGGCGGCGUGCUUAACACAUGCAAGUCGAACGGAAAGGCCCUGCUUGCAGGGUACUCUCGUGGCGAACGGGGGAGUAACACGCGGGUGAUCUGCCCUCCACAUCGGGAUAAGCCUCGGGAACUGGGGCUAUUAUCGGGUAUGACCCUCCAUGUUGGGGGGGGGGGGGGAAGAUUUAUCGGUGUGGGGGGGGCGCUCGGCCUAUCUCCUUGUUGGUGGGGUAUUGGCCUACCAAGGCGUGGACGGGUAGCCGGCCUGAGAGGGGGGACGGCCACAUUGGGACUGAGAUAGGGCCCAGACUCCUACGGGAGGCAGCAGUGGGGAAUAUUGCACAAUGGGCGGAAGCCUUAUGAAGCAACGCGGCGUGGGGGAUGACGGCCUUCGGGUUGUAAACCUCUUUCGACGGGGACGAAGCUUCGGUGACGGUACCUGUAGAAGAAGCACCGGCUAACUACGUG